CCUACGGGUGGCAGCAGUGGGGAAUAUUGGGCAAUGGGCGCAAGCCUGACCCAGCAACGCCGCGUGAAGGAAGAAGGCCCUCGGGUUGUAAACUUCUUUUGUCAGGGACGAAACAAAUGACGGUACCUGACGAAUAAGCCACGGCUAAAUACGUGCCAGCAGCCGCGGGAAUACGUAGGUGGCAAGCGUUAUCCGGAUUUACUGGGUGUAAAGGGCGUGUAGGCGGGAGAGCAAGUCAGAUGUGAAAUUCCGGGGCGCAACCCGGGAACUGCCUUGGAAACUGGUUUACUUGAGUGAGGGGGAGGCAGGCGGAAGUCGGGGUGUAGCGGUGAAAUGCGUAGAUAUACGGGAGAACACCAGUGGCGAAGGCGGCCUGCUAGACAUUAACGGACCCUGAGGCGCGAAAGCGUGGGGAGCAAACAGGAUUAGAUACCCCGGUAGUC
RNAcentral lists this ribosomal RNA (443 nucleotides) under uncultured bacterium. RNAcentral's name for it is "partial 16S ribosomal RNA". It matches the Rfam family "Bacterial small subunit ribosomal RNA", at positions 338 to 795 of the family's 1533-position model. The record is from RNAcentral.